CUGCAUCCAAAACUGUUAGUCUAGAGUGUGGGAGAGGAAGAUGGAAUUAGUUGUGUAGGGGUAAAAUCCGUAGAGAUAACUAGGAAUACCAAAAGCGAAGGCAAUCUUCUGGAACAGUACUGACGCUGAGGCGCGAAAGCGUGGGGAGCAAACAGGAUUAGAUACCCUGGUAGUCCACGCCCUAAACGAUGAAUGUUAGUCGUCGGGUAGCUAGUCUAUUCGGUGAUGCAGUUAACACAUUAAACAUUCCGCCUGGGGAGUACGGUCGCAAGAUUAAAACUCAAAGGAAUAGACGGGGACCCGCACAAGUGGUGGAGCAUGUGGUUUAAUUCGAAGAUACGCGAAGAACCUUACCUAGCCUUGACAUAUUUUAGAACACUUUAGAGAUAGAGUGGUGCCUUCGGGAGCUAAUAUACAGGUGCUGCACGGCUGUCGUCAGCUCGUGUCGUGAGAUGUUGGGUUAAGUCCCGCAACGAGCGCAACCCUCGUCACUAGUUACUAACGGUUCGGCCGAGGACUCUAGUGAGACUGCCUUCGCAAGGAGGAGGAAGGUGAGGACGACGUCAAGUCAUCAUGGCCCUUACGGCUAGGGCAACACACGUGCUACAAUGGCCAGGACAAUGAGAAGCAAUACCGCGAGGUGGAGCAAAUCUAUAAACCUGGUCUCAGUUCGGAUUGUUCUCUGCAACUCGAGAGCAUGAAGCUGGAAUCACUAGUAAUCGUAGAUCAGCUAUGCUACGGUGAAUACGUUCCCGGGUCUUGUACUCACCGCCCGUCACACCAUGGGAGUUGAUUUCACCCGAAGCGGGGGAGCUAAACUGGCUACCCUCCACGGUGGAGUCAGCGACUGGGGUG
Molecule: ribosomal RNA, 855 nt
Filed under: uncultured bacterium
Lineage: Bacteria
Description: bacterial SSU rRNA
Rfam family: Bacterial small subunit ribosomal RNA
Source: RNAcentral